This 303-nucleotide ribosomal RNA is filed under the name uncultured bacterium. Its description in RNAcentral is "bacterial SSU rRNA". It matches the Rfam family "Bacterial small subunit ribosomal RNA", at positions 355 to 675 of the family's 1533-position model. The record is from RNAcentral.
UGAGGAAUAUUGGGCAAUGGAGGAAACUCUGACCCAGCCAUGCCGCGUGAGUGAAGAAGGUUUUCGAAUUGUAAAGCUCUUUCGGAUGUGAAGAUGAUGACGGUAACAUCUAAAGAAGCCCCGGCAAACUUCGUGCCAGCAGCCGCGGUAAUACGAAGGGGGCAAGCGUUGUUCGGAAUUACUGGGCGUAAAGGGUGUGUAGGCGGGAAAGUAAGAUAGUGGUGAAAUGCCUGAGCUCAACUUGGGAACUGCCAUUAUAACUAUUUUUCUAGAGUGACAGAGAGGAUAUUGGAAUACCCAGUG